UCUGGUGUCAGCCGCCGCGGUAAAACCAGCACCUCAAGUGGUCAGGAUGAUUAUUGGGCCUAAAGCAUCCGUAGCCUGCUUUGUUAGUUUUCGGUUAAAUCCAUACGCUCAACGUAUGGGCUGCCGGGAAUACUGCAAAGCUAGGGAGUGGGAGAGGUAGACGGUACCCGGUAGGAAGGGGUAAAAUCCUUUGAUCUAUUGAUGACCACCUGUGGCGAAGGCGGUCUACCAGAACACGUCCGACGGUGAGGGAUGAAAGCUGGGGGAGCAAACCGGAUUAGAUACCCGGGUAGUCCCAGCUGUAAACUAUGCAAACUCGGUGAUGCAUUGGCUUGAUGCCAAUGCAGUGCCGCAGGGAAGCCGUUAAGUUUGCCGCCUGGGAAGUACGUACGCAAGUAUGAAACUUAAAG
Molecule: ribosomal RNA, 410 nt
Filed under: uncultured Nitrososphaerota archaeon
Lineage: Archaea; Thermoproteati; Nitrososphaerota
Description: bacterial SSU rRNA
Rfam family: Archaeal small subunit ribosomal RNA
Source: RNAcentral